GCAUGGGUUGUAUUGAUCACAUACUAACGUGUCUGAUGUUCUAUGAGUGGGUGUCCCCUCAUGAGCUGAUGGCUAGUUGGUGGUGGUUGAUCUUCCGAUGGGACGACGCAUGAGUGGUGAUUAGGAUGUUCUUUCAUGCAGGCUCUGCGUAUCAUACGUUGAACUGUGUGGAGUCAACCGUUUCAGUAAUCCAUUGUGCUUGUCUUUUGCUCGUUGCAAAAUGAUUGGGUGGUUUCUGUGUUGGCUACUGAUUAUGGUAUGCGGGAUUUGAUGGAAUCCAUUUGUUCUUGGUUCUUUUGCCAUUGGCUUGUCCAGCAAAGGGGAUGUUACAUCGGUCUCCCAUGUUCCACACAAGUAAGCCCCUUAUGGGAGUGGAUUUGUGAUGGCUCAUGGGUAGCUGUCUAUGCUCUUGGGUAUGUGAACUGUUUCGUUGUUGUUCGGGUCUUUGACCCUUACAUAUCAUUUCUUGAGCAUGUAGCUUUAUUUUGUAUGACCCUCGAGCUUGUUCUUGAGCUCACGGAGCCGUAGUGCUUGUUGUUCCUCAGGGAGAAGCCGAGGUCUAUGAGUAAUGC
Molecule: unclassified non-coding RNA, 572 nt
Filed under: Memecylon scutellatum
Lineage: Eukaryota; Viridiplantae; Streptophyta; Magnoliopsida; Myrtales; Melastomataceae
Description: partial external transcribed spacer
Source: RNAcentral